AUGCUCCGGCUCCGUCGCAGCCUCCUCUCCCAGAUCCUCUCGUCUUCCCCCGCCUCUCCCAUCUCCCACCUCAGCCGCCUCAUCUCCGCCGCCGCGCCCGCCGUCUCCCCGAACCCUAGCUUCGCGGUGGAGGACUACCUCGUCUCCACCUGCGGCCUCACCCGACCCCAGGCCCUCAAGGCCUCGGCCAAGCUCUCCCACCUCAAGUCCCCUUCCAAGCCCGACGCCGUCCUCGCCUUCCUCGCCGGCCUCGGCCUCUCCGCCGCCGACGUCGCCGCCCUCGUAGUCAACGACCCGCUGUUCCUCUGCGCCAAAGUGGAGAAAACUCUGGCCCCCAUCGUCAUCGGGCUCACCGCUCUCGGUCUGUCGCAUUCUGAGAUCGCCCGCCUAGUCUCGCUCAGUCGCGCCCGCUUCCGCAGUAGAUCCAUCCUCUCCAAGCUGCACUACUACCUGCCUCUCUUCGACUCCUCCGAGGACCUCUUCCGGGUGCUCAAGCGCGGCGCUGGCAUUCUCUCGGCCGACCUCGAGCGGGUGGUCAAGCCCAAUGCCGCCUUCCUUCGGGAGUGCGGGCUAAGUGAUUGCGACAUUGUCAAGUUGUGCAUCGUUCAGCCAUGGCUGCUCCCCUCCAGCAUGGAGCGCAUCCGGGCAAUGGCGGCACACGCUGAAGGUAUUGGUGUGCCUCGUGGCUGUAAGAUGUUCAGACACGCGUUGCAUGCUGUUGCGCGCCUCAGCAAGGAGAAGAUCGCCAACCAAGUGGAGCACUUGAAGAAGACAUUUAUGUGGUCAGAUGCUGAGGUCGGCGUUGUUGUCUCCAAGCAUCCAUCUGUGCUGAUAAGGUCUAACCAGAUGCUGCAGAGCAAGUCAGAGUUCCUCAUCUCUGAGGUCGGGCUGGAACCGACAUACAUUGCUCAUCGUCCGGCAUUGCUCACGUACAGCCUGGAAGUCCGACUCAGACCCCGGCACUACGUCGUAAAGUUUCUCAAGGAAAGCGGAUUGCUGGAUCGCGGCCGGGACUAUUAUAGAGCAGUCAUGAUCAGUGAGAAAGAAUUUGUGGAGAAGUUCAUAUGCCCUCACAAGGAAGCUGCACCACACCUUGCUGAAGACUAUGCAGCAGCUUGCAGAGGGGAAGUGCCUUCCAGUUUCAGAUUUACAUAA
Molecule: ribosomal RNA, 1155 nt
Filed under: Triticum aestivum (bread wheat)
Lineage: Eukaryota; Viridiplantae; Streptophyta; Magnoliopsida; Poales; Poaceae
Description: partial small subunit ribosomal RNA
Source: RNAcentral